Molecule: non-coding RNA, 73 nt
Organism: Podarcis lilfordi (Lilford's wall lizard)
Lineage: Eukaryota; Metazoa; Chordata; Lepidosauria; Squamata; Lacertidae
Source: the annotation of a GenBank genome assembly
GAUUGGAUAGCUCAGUCGGUAGAGAAUGAGACUUUAAAUCUUAGGGUUGCCGGUUCGAGCCCCACAUUGGGCA